AUUUAACUCUGUCCUUCUGUUUAGUAACG
This 29-nucleotide non-coding RNA is filed under the name Cricetulus griseus (Chinese hamster). Lineage: Eukaryota; Metazoa; Chordata; Mammalia; Rodentia; Cricetidae. The record is from RNAcentral.